CCGAGUUUACAACUCCCAAACCCCUGUGAACAUACCACUUGUUGCCUCGGCGGAUCAGCCCGCUCCCGGUAAAACGGGACGGCCCGCCAGGGGACCCCUAAACUCUGUUUCUAUAUGUAACUUCUGAGUAAAACCAUAAAUAAAUCA
This 147-nucleotide unclassified non-coding RNA is filed under the name soil metagenome. RNAcentral's name for it is "partial internal transcribed spacer 1". The record is from RNAcentral.